Magnolia sinica is the source of this 3456-nucleotide RNA transcript. It is a transcript of the gene named kinesin-like protein KIN-10B, with no coding region annotated. Lineage: Eukaryota; Viridiplantae; Streptophyta; Magnoliopsida; Magnoliales; Magnoliaceae. The record is from RefSeq and is a predicted model, not a curated record. The transcript is spliced from 8 exons.
UGUGUGUGUGUGUGUGUCUUGAAGUCUUGUAUAGAAUCUUACAAGCUACAACAAGGUUCGAAACUUAAGUAACAGUGGAUUAAUGAAACAUCUCAUAAAACACUAUGAUGACUCGUCAGUAAAACCAUGAUUUUUCCCCAAUUUGUGCACAUAACAAUGAUCUAUGCAAUGGGACUCAUCUUAUGCAUGGGUCAGCUGUCCCACAUACAUGCAAUGUUGAAGGUGAGCAAAACUGAGCAAGUUGGCCUAUUGUUUUUAAGCAAACACAUUUUAGUAAAUAUUUGGUCCUUGUCAUGUCUAAUAUGAUUUUAGAUUUAAAUUUUUUUCAUCAGGUUAUGAAGGCAGAAAUCGGAGGAUGAGUAGUGGCAGCCCUCAUCCUGCUGAAAGUGCUAGUAUUAAUAAGUCUUCAUACUCCUUCCAGAAAGUUGUUUACUCUUUGAAUGACAAUGACAGUCACAUCCCAUAUCGACAGACCAAACUCACUCACAUGUUGCAAGAUUCCAUAGGCGGAACAGGCCAAGCGUUGAUGAUUGCUUGUUUGGUGAGAGUUUUUGUUAUUGUAUUAUUAGGAUUUUCUGAUUUUUCUUAAAUUCUUUCUGUACCUUAUUGUUUUCAAUUCAAAUUGGGGAGUGGAUAUGACAGUUGAACACUUAUAUCUUGGUUAUGAGGCAAUCCAUCUCUUUGCACGUGGCACGCAUGCACAAAUCCAAGCCGUUCAUUUAUUAGAUUACCAUGAAUUACAACAACUGGAUGAUUUUAGUUACUAAUAAAGAUGUUCUUUCUUACCUGUCGGAUGCUAACUGUUGGUUAAAUUUCCUUUAAAACAUCCAUUUUUAAUAAUUGAAAUUCCUCCAACCAGUGUGGCUAAGAUCCAGCUAAUUUAUUUUUAAAUAAUAAAAAAAUAUAUAUAUUAAUACAAUCCAUCACUGCAACUACAAGCAUGUGUGAGCUUAGCAAACCUCAGCCAAAGCUUAUUCUCUGGUCCAAGAAUCAGGCCAGUCACAUAUCAGGUUUCUGUAUGCACAAUAUAAGAGCAAGUGCCAGCUGAAGGAAGAACCGAGCAAGGAUUUCACAAGACCUUUGCAUGCCCCCCAAAAAAAUCAGCCAUAGAAUACAUUGCUUUUGAGGACCAUUCCUGGCUUGAAUGAACUUGUCAAGGCUUUAUUAGGAAGUGGAGACUGGCUUAAUGGAUGGCGGUCUAGGAAAAAUAGAGGUUUUUCCAGACCGCUUUGUAGCUUCAACACCAGAAAAGGAUUGUCUUCAGAAAGAGAGUUCAACAAAUUCACAACCAAGGACAGACUACUCUUCUAGGUCUCAUAGUCGUUUGUGGGCUAGAAGGAGAUUAGUGAGUGCCUCAGCUAUGCUGAACUUGUUUAGUCCAUGGAGAUCUGGCAGCAACAGUGACAAGGUUGAACUAACUGUUGCAGAACUAGAAUCUCUUUGUUCAGAAAUUGUUGCUGCAGAAGAGAGAGAAGUUCAUCUGAAAGCCCAGUAAGAUCAACUGGAUGGGUUGUUUUCUGUUUCUUCCAUUUGUCCAUCUUUUACUGUUGGUUUUAUGCUCUCUGUCGUGCAUAUAUGGUUCUUAUGAGGAAUCGGUAUGUAUGUUUAGUCAUGCUAUACUAAUAUGUCAAAGAAGGUUUCAAAAUGGAACAAAAAGGAAGCUGGGAGAAUACUUUCCUAGCUUGUGCUGUUUUCUUACUUUUGUUAUCAGGCUGUCGUAAUUGGUGGUUGCCAUGUGUGAGCCAGUUUGCUGCUGUGACCUGUACUUCUGAUCUGGUGGUAACCCUCCGUUGAUAGUGUGAGAGAUGCAGAUCAAUACGAUUUCACGAAUUCUGAAAAAGCAGCAGUAGUUACCAAGGAAGUUGUGAAGAUGACUGAAAUAACAAAGCAUCUCACGGUAAGGGAUUUUAUUAUUAAAUCUUAAACGAUACUGCAUUUACCUGGAAUUCUUACUGAAAUCACUCCAAGCCAUUUGGUUUUUGGGUCUUUCCUUAUCUCUUAAGAAUCCAAAUUGCAGAAAUUCUCAAUUCCAGGAGCUAAAAAUCUCCAUCUUUGAUUGACAGGAAUCCAAGAAGCCCAUUUGUCAUUACCGGCACACUAAAAAAAUGGAUUACUUGUUGGAAGAAGUUUUGGGAUACGUAGCUGUAUUAGGGAAGCUGAAUGUUGGAAAGAGUACACUAUCAAACCAGAUGAUAGGCCAGAAGCUUUCAAUUGUUACAGAUAAACCUCAAACAACGCACCAUCGAAUCCUUGGUAUUUGUUCUGGCCCUGAGUAUCAGUUUGCAGAUGAUACUCUAUGAUACACCUGGUGUUAUUGAGAAGAAAUGCACAAGUUGGAUUCUAUGAUGAUGAAAAAUGUCCGCAGUGCUGCUAUUAAUGCUGACUGUGUUCUGGUAGUUGUUGAUGCAUGCAAGGUACCCCAGCAGAUAAUCAACUAUUGGAUCGGCUUUUUGUGCUGCAUUGAUGGGGCCACUAGAAGCUAAGCUAACAGCUAGGUACGAGAAUCUCCCUAUUGCAUUAAUAGUAACUCAAGGACAGGCAAUAAUGAUGCUUCCUGUAUCAAAAAGAUCUAUAAAUAUUUUAAAUGUUUUAAACUAAUAAAAGGUUUAAUCUUUGGACUUGUUUUUAAAUACCUGAAUUGUACAAGUCAAGAGUGCUGGAGCUAUAUGCAAGUGAUGAUCGUGGGAUCAAUGUAGUCCGCAAUAAGAUCAAGGAUUUUGCAGCUGUAGCUGUAGGUUCUGGUAACCGCCAUGGGCAUGUUGCAAAUUUACAGUCCAAUUGUGGUUUGUGUAGUAAAUUUGCCUGUUCUAGAUUACAUACAAUUAUUCAUUUUCAUUUGCAUGCUUUCUCUUGUCAACACUAGGGGUUACCCUCAUCCACCGUUCAAGAUCAUUAUCCUAAAUGAGGCUGAUUCAAUGACUGAAGAUGCUCAGGUACUUGUAGACUGUACCCAUUCUUAGUUCUUGAAUCUGGACCAUUGAACUAUCUCCCAGGUUGAUAUUUAUAACCUAAUAAUCAUUGAACUAUCUCCAAUUGAAUCUGGACCAUUGCUGUAUUUUCUCAUUAACCAUCUAUUUGUAGGCCAAUGAAUAAAAAGGUUAGGAACUUCCAUUUAAGGAUUUGUAUAGUGUUCUCAAGUUGUCAGUUUAUACAAGUGGAGCCCAUGGUCCCAUGAUCUGAGCCGUUGGUUUGAUGGCCUGCUAUCAUGGAUCAUGACCCAUGAAAUCUCCUCAAUACGGCGAUUCAGAUGUUUCACUUUCUAGGCUGUAAAAUAGACGGUGAGGAUUUAUUUAUUUAUUUUUAUUGUAUUCGUGCAAUUGUAAACUUAUUGUUGUAAAUAUAUAUAAUUUUUAUUAUAAAGUUGUACUAUAUUUUUUCAAUAUUAAAUUUUAAUUGUAUAUAAUAUUCUUUGAUUUUUAAAUAUAAAAACAACUGUACAGCUUUUAUUGGCCAUUU